UUUCCGUAGGUGAACCUGCGGAAGGAUCAUUACUGAGUGAGGGCCCUCUGGGUCCAACCGCCCACCCGUGUUUAUUAUACCUUGUUGCUUCGGUGAGCCCGCCUCACGGCCGCCGGGGGGCAUCUGCCCCCGGGCCCGCGCCCACCGAAGACACCUAGAACUCUGUAUGAAGAUUGCAGUCUGAGCAAAAACUAAAUAAGUUAAAACUUUCAACAACGGAUCUCUUGGUUCCG
Molecule: unclassified non-coding RNA, 233 nt
Filed under: plant metagenome
Description: partial contains small subunit ribosomal RNA, internal transcribed spacer 1, and 5.8S ribosomal RNA
Source: RNAcentral